UACCAUAAAUUAUGCCCAUGAAUAAGCAUGUCCUGCUUCUUCAGAGGUGCUGAACACUUCUGUUGACUUCAGUGGAAACUGGAAUAAGCCCAGUGCAUGCUUUGCAUGAAUCAUGUUACAUAACAGAAAAUGAUGGUAAUUUAUGUUCAGCACGAUGAUGAAAAGUUCUUGAACUCCUUUUCAGUUUGAAAGAUGGGAGAACUGGAGAGUUGCACUGAGUCUUAUAAAUCAGCUGCUCUUGAAACCUUCACUGCUCUUCUCACGUGCAGCUCCACAGUGCCCAGGUGCUCCUUCCCACCUACCUCAGCAUGGGCCACUUGCAGAGGAUGUUGCUGCCUUGUGUGAUGUGAUACCAGCACAGGGAACACCUGGGACCCCCAGGAAGCUGUGGGUGAAGAACCUGCACCUUCUUGGCAUGAGAGAUGUUUUCCAUUGCCAUCUGGAUACACCUUGUGCUGCUGGGAAGGGGCCAAUAUUCCAGAUGCUUCUGCAUUCAUGACCCAGAUGGCCAAAGGUGGAAGCACAGAAGGCCCAUGUGCUGCAGAGAUUUGCCAUCUGAGGCGAUAUGGUGGGAGCAGCUGUGAGGACCGAGCAUGUUUAACGGAGGUAAAAAGAAAAGGCAGGGACUGAGGAAGAGGUGAUGGAGUGGAGGCAGCGCUGAGGGACAAAGGUGUGGGUCACUCUCCUCAGACCCCUCUGCUCCAGCGAUGCUCCCAGCUGUGCAGCACAGUGCUGCUGUGUGCUGACCACUGCACAGCUGGGCUGCGGCAGCUCUGUGUGAGGGUGGCACUGAGCUCUGCACUCCUGGGUCUGUGCGGGCAGUGAGCGGGGCUGCAGCUUGGGCAGCUCUGACUGCUCUAUUUCUCAUUUAGACACACAGCUCAGAGUUGUGCCAGUGAAACAAAUCUUUCUGGGUGACUGAAAGAUAAAUCUACAAAUACAAGGAGUGAAUGUGAUCUCAGUGCUGCUGUGUUCCAGUGUGUGACACCAAAUGACGUGCUGCAGGAAGCAGAAUGGGAAUCUUGUAUUUGACUGAUAAUUAAAUUCAAUCAAGUAUUUUAAGUCCAGCAAGCAAUACUCACCAUGUUGUGAUCCUCCGUUGUUAAUGACCAGUCCCAGCAGCAGUCUGCUGAGGU
RNAcentral lists this long non-coding RNA (1136 nucleotides) under Coturnix japonica (Japanese quail). Its description in RNAcentral is "lncRNA (ENSCJPG00005007294.1)". Lineage: Eukaryota; Metazoa; Chordata; Aves; Galliformes; Phasianidae. The record is from RNAcentral.